This 985-nucleotide ribosomal RNA is filed under the name uncultured bacterium. Its description in RNAcentral is "bacterial SSU rRNA". It matches the Rfam family "Bacterial small subunit ribosomal RNA", at positions 505 to 1502 of the family's 1533-position model. The record is from RNAcentral.
GUGCCAGCAGCCGCGGUGAUACGGAGGGUGCAAGCGUUAUCCGGAUUUAUUGGGUUUAAAGGGUGCGCAGGCGGAAUGAUAAGUCAGUGGUGAAAUCCUACGGCUCAACUGUAGAACUGCCAUUGAUACUGUUGUUCUUGAGUACAGCUGAAGUGGGCGGAAUGUAUCAUGUAGCGGUGAAGUGCAUAGAUAUGAUACAGAACACCGAUAGCGAAAGCAGCUCACUAAACUGAAACUGACGCUCAGGCACGAAAGCGUGGGGAGCAAACAGGAUUAGAUACCCUGGUAGUCCACGCUGUAAACGAUGAUCACUCGUUGUUGGUGAUACACAGUCAGCGACUGAACGAAAGCAUUAAGUGAUCCACCUGGGAAGUACGAUCGCAAGGUUGAAACUCAAAGGAAUUGACGGGGGCCCGCACAAGCGGAGGAGCAUGUGGUUUAAUUCGAUGAUACGCGAGGAACCUUACCUGGGCUUGAAUGCAGGACGACCGUUCCCGAAAGGGGACUUUCCUUCGGGACGUCCUACAAGGUGCUGCAUGGUUGUCGUCAGCUCGUGCCGUGAGGUGUCGGGUUAAGUCCCAUAACGAGCGCAACCCUUAUUCUUAGUUGCCAUCAGGUCAUGCUGGGGACUCUAAGGAAACUGCCUACGCAAGUAGUGAGGAAGGUGGGGAUGACGUCAAAUCAGCACGGCCCUUAUGUCCAGGGCUACACACGUGCUACAAUGGCCGGUACAGAGGGUCGCUACAUGGUGACAUGAUGCUAAUCUCGAAAACCGGUCUCAGUUCGGAUCGAAGUCUGCAACUCGACUUCGUGAAGUUGGAUUCGCUAGUAAUCGCAUAUCAGCAAUGGUGCGGUGAAUACGUUCCCGGGCCUUGUACACACCGCCCGUCAAGCCAUGGAAGCUGGGGGUACCUGAAGUCCGUGACCGCAAGGAGCGGCCUAGGGUAAAACUAGUAACUGGGGUGAAGUCGUAACAGGGUAACCG